UACGUAGGUGGCAAGCGUUGUCCGGAUUUACUGGGCGUAAAGAGCGCGCAGGCGGUCGUGCAAGUCGCGUGUGAAGGCCCCCGGCUCAACUGGGGAGGGUCACGCGAUACUGCUCGACUCGAAGGCAGGAGAGGGUAGUGGAAUUCCCGGUGUAGUGGUGAAAUGCGUAGAUAUCGGGAGGAACACCAGUGGCGAAGGCGACUACCUGGCCUGUUCUUGACGCUGAGGCGCGAAAGCUAGGGGAGCAAACGGG
This 253-nucleotide ribosomal RNA is filed under the name uncultured bacterium. RNAcentral describes it as "partial 16S ribosomal RNA". It matches the Rfam family "Bacterial small subunit ribosomal RNA", at positions 524 to 776 of the family's 1533-position model. The record is from RNAcentral.